RNAcentral lists this ribosomal RNA (253 nucleotides) under uncultured bacterium. RNAcentral's name for it is "partial 16S ribosomal RNA". It matches the Rfam family "Bacterial small subunit ribosomal RNA", at positions 524 to 776 of the family's 1533-position model. The record is from RNAcentral.
UACAGAGGGUGCAAGCGUUGCUCGGAAUUAUUGGGCGUAAAGCGCGUGUAGGCGGCUUUGCAAGUCGGGUGUGAAAUCCCUCAGCUUAACUGAGGAAGUGCGCCCGAAACUGCCGAGCUUGAGUACCGGAGAGGGUGGCGGAAUUCCCCAAGUAGAGGUGAAAUUCGUAGAUAUGGGGAGGAACACCGGUGGCGAAGGCGGCCACCUGGACGGAUACUGACGCUGAGACGCGAAAGCGUGGGGAGCAAACAGG